RNAcentral lists this long non-coding RNA (225 nucleotides) under Capsicum annuum. RNAcentral's name for it is "long non-coding RNA (CANN_LNC020302)". Lineage: Eukaryota; Viridiplantae; Streptophyta; Magnoliopsida; Solanales; Solanaceae. The record is from RNAcentral.
AGUACAUUCAAGGUCUGACCAUAGGAUGGUGUACACUUGUAAGGAUUCCCACUAAAAUAUGGGGUGCCUUGAAAGAGUUCUUGAGGUCAAUCUAUGUACCAAGGGGUUACAUAAAGCUUUAUAAUAGUGAUCCAAGAAGAUAAAUUUGUUCAAGAUGCGUAGAGAUUUAUGGAGUUCCGAGAUGCGUUCUUAUACUUGAUGAUUGGUUUCACGUAAACUACAUAA